GACUAAAAGGGGCCAUCUCAGGCCUGCACGCCAGUCUCCUGGGCGUGCAAAUUCCUCCGGCCAUCAGGAAACACAAUGGCUGCCAAGCUGAUAGGCCCCGAGGAGACCAGAGGGUGAGGAUUUGGAAAGAGGUGGUGUUGGCCCCGGCCUAGGCCAGCCAAGAAAGCCAAGAAAGGUGAUUCGCCAGUCACAGAGUAAGCGAGCGGGUGAGGGCUGACAAGCCCUGUGGAGAAAAGCAAAGCAGACUUUCAGAGCAGUCACAGACUGCCAUUGCCACCACCACCCGAGUCCUCUGGAGCACCCCCAGCAUUCAUGUUUUCAAAGAAUUUUGCCAGCCCAAAGUGGGUCAGGCACUGAAACCCAAAGGGAAACUCAGCAGACCCCGGCUCCCAUGUAGUCAACCUGAAGAUAACGCUGACUUUCCGGGGGGAUGAGUGGCUUCAGAAACCUGCCCCACGAUACUCAGAAUUGCAGUUACCCUGAGCCAUCUGCUUUCUGAAAAGAACAGGGUUUGAAGGUGGCUGUGAAAGCCACCAAGUUAUGUGGGGCACUGCUUUGCCUUCCCCAACAAGUGUGUCAGCCUCAACUCUGGGACUUGCGGGUGAUCCAGUGGGGUAGAGGGAGAGCAGUUUCUCGUGCCAUGAGCUUCUUCAACAGCCAUGACUUCAUUCUUUGGCCACGACCCAUAGUAAGAAAUCCAUUCUACAUCAUAACCCAGCACACCCACACGUGUAAACAGACAUAUAAAUAACUGAAAAAUGGUUGUUCUUCGAGUGAAACAAUACUUACCUUUACUGCAUGUGGUGAUACACUGGCAUUUCUUAUGCUAUUUCCUUUUUCUUUUUAAUGCUUGUUGAAACCCAGUAAAUUGAUUUCACAACUCAAUAAAGGGUUAGGAUAUGCAAUUUUGAACAAUUCCAGCUCUGCCACCUAUCAGCUGUGUGACCUGGGGCAAGUUACUUAACCUCUCUGUGCCUCAGUUACCUCAUCUCUAAGGAGGGGAUAAUAAUACCUACAUCAGUGAGUUGUUCAGCAGAUCAAAGAAAUAUUUGAAAAGUACCUAUAAAGCACUUAACAGUAACCCCCUCCAAAUUUCCAUUGAGGGAAACUGAAGCUCUGAAAGGAAAGCAACUUGCCCAGUGUUGCCCUGCUGGUAAAAUGCAUCACCCAGCCUGGUACAGUAGCUAAGAGCUGGAGCACUAGAGCAGGACCACACAGGCUCAGAUCCCAGCUCUGCCACUUUCUUAGCACGUGGCCUCAGGCCCAUGUCCUUAACCAUAAUGCCCUACCAAGUUUUCUGUGGCAUAAAAGAGGAUCACGUUCACAUUAAUUCCUCACUCUACAGAAAACUAAGAUGCCCCUGACUUGUCCCGUUCAACUCCAGUUAUUCUGGUUUCCCCUGAGGCUGCCAACUCAGAUAGCAGGUUGGAUCCCCAUCCCUUCAGUUAUAGGUGCACUGAAAGACAGUGGGCCUUCCUGUGCAUCAGCCCCAGUGACGGAUCCUGGAGACACCAUGGUGAGCAAACCCAACUAGGAAGCUUACAAUUCAGUAUGGAGGAAGACAUUAAAAAAAUACUCAAACUCAUUAUUUCAACAAACAUUUAUUGAGCACCUGCUAAGUGCCAGGCACUGUGGCAGGCCUGCAGGAAUACAGUGGUGAAUGAAAGCAGACCAUGUCCCUACCCCUCACGGAGCUUACAGUCUAGCGGGGCAGAGAGUCAUCCAGCAACCCCCUAAUAAAGAUAUAACUACAAACUGCGAUCAGUGCCUUUAGAAAAGGAAAGAAUGCCCUAGAAUAAGGGUCCCUGGCCCAAUCUACAGGGUCAGGCAGGGCUUACUUAAGGAUGCUGAAAAGCAAAACGAUCAAGUGGAGAUGCCGAGUUUGGAUACAUGAAGCUAAGGGAAGAGCCAGGAGAAAGAGAAGGGCCAGAGAGUUAAGAGGAAAACCAGCAGAGUGUGGUCUCAAGGCAAGGGAAGACAAAGUGUUUUAAGUAGGAGUGGUCAACCACUUCAAGAGGAAAACUAAAAAACCACCUGCAGAAUCUGGCAGAUGCCGGGGGCUAACACUUACGGGGGUGAGCAAGUGCAGAAGGCAAGUACAGGCAACUCUGCAGGGGUCAGCAGUGAAGGGGAGGGUGAUGAGGUGCUGGCCAGAAGCAGGAGGGAGAGAACGUGGGGUCAGCGGAGACAGAAGGGAUGCUGGCACAGGCAAAGGUGAAUAGAGGAUCAAGCAAGGAGGGCAGCAGAAAACCUGCCAGGAGAGAAAAGGUGACUGAUGAUGUCAGAUUCUAGAGCAAGUAGCAGAAACUGGGACCCAGAGCACAGGAGGGAGAAGUGGCCUGAGCAAGAAGGGACUCCUCGUCAUCUGUAACACAGGGGAGGGAAAUCAGCGUGCAGACUUGGGGGCCACAAGUUAUAGGGAGUUCCAUUCUUAUGGCUUCUGUUUUGUUUUUUGAAGCAGGAGAGAAAGUCUGAAGGUAAAGAACAUUUGAAAGAGUCACUUCAGAGGAGAAACGAGUGGAUCAAAAAAAUAUAGUAGAACUGCUAGGCAGGGUGGCCGAUGACCCCUCGACUGGUGGCGAUGUUCAUCUGCUCUGCCAUGGGACAUUCUCUAACAAAGCUUAGCACGUGCUGGGCUGAUGAGUGCUAUGAAAAAGCCAGGGGCCCGAGGACACUGGGGUGGACAGGCUCCCCUGGGGAAGUCCUCUUAGAACUGAGGGAUCAACACUGGAGGAGACUGCAAGGGGUACGGGAUAAAUGUUCCUGGUGAAGGAAACAGCAGGGGCAAAGGCCCUGCAGCAGAAAGGAGCGAGGCCCUUUGGAGUAACAGAAAGACCAUGGUGACAGGAGCUCAGAAAGACCACUGGUGUUAAGACUAUGAGCCAGUGGAGGCCAGAUUGGGGAAUGGGAUGGGAGGGUGCUUGAAGACCAUGGUGAGGCUCUCUUGGUCUUUACUUUUAAGAAGAAUAGGACACUUCCAAAGGGUAGUGUCAAGUGCCAAGGAAGAUCAGGAGGGCUUUUCCCCACACCAGCCCUAGGACUUUGGACUCUGGGAGCCUCAGUUUGCUCAUCCAGGAAAGAGAAAUUUAAAACCCUCUACUUCACAGGGAAUGUUGUCGGAAUUAAACCAGACCUUGCAUGAAAAUAUAGUACUCAGUGAAGUGCCUGGCGAAGAGCAGGGGCUCAGCCAGGUCUCAUACAACAAAUCCUCUGUACUCCAUCCCACAAGCCCUGUGACAUCUUAGGACCACUCUGCAUCUCUUUCCCUGCUGGAACCUAGCACUGUGCCCAGCACACAGUAGGCAGUCAAUAAAUGCUUGUCGAUGAAUCAUCUCUAAGCUUUAGAGUUACCAAAUGCCUGGUCCAGCAACCCAGGGAAAGCAGCCAUUUGGGUUUCUGAACUCUAUCCUGAUGGCUACCACGGACUUCUCCCAUGCCCUCACCUGAUGUGGCUGUGCUCAGUGCACAGAGGGCCUACAGCCAACAUUUCCUCAACAGGAAGCCCUCUGAUAGGGCUCCCACAGGUAAGGGAUAUACCCUGAGAUCCUCCGCCAUUUCCCAAGAGGGCUAGGUCACAAAGGGUGGCUAGUCUUCAACAGUGCUGCAAGUCACUGGCAGCACACAGGUUCUAAAACAAUAAUAUGUUGAAAUGUACUCACCAAGAAAGCCACCGACCUACAAAGAAACCCUUAUCGCUGAUCUUGCAAUGAGCACCAACCUCCCCUUUGCAAGAGCUGAGAUCGAAAGAUAAAGAAGCUAUCAAAAAGCCAUCUGCCCACUUAAAAUAAUAUCACAAGUCAUGUUAGGAACCACAGACCUGGGGCCAGAUACCAAAACAAUUGUCUGAACAGGCUGCUUCAAUUUCUCCUUAAAACCGCCCAUGUAUGUUAAAAGAAAAACACCCUCUCCACCCACCUUGGCCCUGCAAGGUUUUGAUUUCUCUGUUCUCUGCCUUUCACACUCUUUAAAAUGACCAAACUCCUUUACCCAAACUGUCGCAUCUUACAGACAGGGUUCCCAUGACAGCCGGCGGGGAUGACAGCUUGGGAAAGUGAUAGAAAUGAAGGUAGCUCUGGGGUACUGGACCUGCUCAGUAUCUUCAUCUGGGUGGUGGCUACACAAGUGCAUACAUAUGUACAAAUCCACUGGGCUAUACACAGAAUAUCAGUACACUUUAUGUAGGUAUACCUCGAUAAAGCAAAAAAAAAAAAAAAGGUAAAAGGAAAGCACGACAUGCUGGGAACACCAAGAGUGAAAUCCAGAAUUUGCCCUGAAUCAUGCCACGCUUUCUAGAGGACCAGUUUAAAAAAAAAAAAUAGAAAAAAAUAAAUGUCCCUAGCAUUUCUUCCCUGGCCCUGUCACUCACUAGCUGAGAGGCUUUGAGCAAGCUGGCUCAUCUCUCUGAGCUACCUGUCUCCCCUCUACUAAAUGGGGAUAAUCAUAGCACCUACACAACACAGCAUGCACAGCAGGCCUCACGGAGAGAAUGGAUCUGAUGUUCAUAGCACAGAAAUCAGUAAAUGCUGGCCAGUUAUCUUUUGCAGUUACCACCAUGCUUCAGUUACCUUGCCCAUGUUUGCUGCAUUCAAUCCAACCAUGCAAAGUGACUGUCAUUUCCCUUAGCAGAGAAGGAAACGGAGGCAAGGCCACACAGCUGAUGGGCGGAGCCGAAUUUAGGAGAGGAAUCCAGGAAACUGUAGGUGUGGCUCCCUAAAUACUGACACUAGCUAACACCUGUAUGAUACUACUUUGAGCCAGACUCGGUUCUGAGCACCUUUACUCUUAUCCCGUAAAGUAGAUGCUAUAAUUCUGUUUUACAGGUGAGGGUCCUGAGGCAUGGUGUAGUUAAAUGCGUUGGCCAAGGUCACAAGGCCAGUAAGUGGCAGCGCCAGGAUUUGAACCCAGGCAAUCUAUGCCAGAAUCCACACUCUUAAUGCUGUAAGAAAAACCAUGCUGCCUGCCCCCUUUAAAUGAAGUCUCAGAUUAUGGUGGGGCUCACAGGUGGGUGAGUGGGUACCUGCCUGCCUGCUCAGUUACCCAGGCACAUCUGCCCACCAGACCGGAGCUAGACCUUUCUGAACCACUCACAGCCUAAGGCCUUACCAGAACCAGCAGAACCCACAAAUGUCUUACUGCAGCCAGGGGCUUCUGACCAAGCGUAUACAUACAAGGUCCAAAAAGCAUUUUCCCAUUUCCAUUCCCAGUCCUCCCAGGAACAGGGAAAUGUAUACAUUUUAGGGAGAAUCUAGUGAUCCUGGGCCAGACUUAGGUGACCGCAAAAAGAAUCAGGACUAGCUGCUGCCCUUAAAGAACUCAUAGCUUGAUAGAGGAAACCUAGGGAAAUCUUCUGGGGCCCCCUGGGGUAUAACUGAUUAUUUCUCCCUGUCCCUAAAUGAUCACAGGUGGUGUGGCAAAAAAACAAGGGACAAAAACUUCAAGUCCAGUACCCAUCUGGUUCUGUCUCUCUGCUAGAGCCACUGCUUUCUUGUGAGAGCAUGGGCUCAGCCCCUCGCCUCCACAGGACUCAAAAGUAGAUUACAGCGUUAACAGUAGAGUGCACAGGCUUCAAGGUCAGGCAUGGGUGAACUGGAAGAGCCAGGUGCCAUCACUGCCUCAACCAGUUUCUCCACCUCUGGAAUCCUGGUUUCCUGCUCUGUCAGAAAGAGAAUCUGCUCUACCCCCCACUGGCAAAGCCCUUGGUCCACACUAUGUCAUUGCAGUUCUCUCCACUCCAGCACACUGCUGAUCAUUCACACCAAGCUCAUUUCCACCCCAGGACCUUUGCACUUGCUGUUUCCUCUACCUAGAACACCCUUGUUCCAUAUAUGCACAUAACUGUUAUUCAUCAUCCAGGACUUAGUUUAAAUGAAACCUCCUCAGAAAAGUCCUCCCUGUUCCUUUUCCUACAAACUCUCCCCCACCUCCCCACCGUAUCUGCAUAACUCUUCUUUAUCAUCAUUCGGGACUCACCUCCUCAAAGGCCCUCCCUUUAACAGCAUGUCUGACACAGUCAUUCCCUCCCAAUCUAUCCCCUUACUCCCUUCAGCAGCUAACUUUGUCCCUAUUUAUCCUAUCUGCUUGCUUGCUUGUUUUUUCAAACUGUCUCCCAUAGGAGCCUGUAUGAAUCCUUGAGGGUAGGGUAGAUGUCUGUCUUGUUCAGGGCUUUACAGUGGAACUCAAUAAAUGGAGGAAUAAAACCCCAGUUAAAACAGUGCCUAGCACGUGUUUGACCUCCAUCACUCUUUGACUGACUGACUCAAUGCACCCUCCUCCCUGUCCUGGAGAGCAGGCCUGAGGGGUUCCUGGGCCGGAAUGCUUGUCCUCCAUCCCAGACACAGCCCUGCGUUGGCGGAGGUGGCGCUGGCUGACAUUACCUGCGCCUCACCGGCUUCAUGCAGCUCUUCAGCUGCCUGGCCUCAGCCUCCACGGGACCCUGGCACUCGGGCUGUGGCUCCAGCUGCGGCAGCUGCUGCUGCUGGGGCAGCCCUUCGGCAUCAGUGGGUGUGGGAGCGGAUGCCUGGCCGGGACCCAGGCCGAGCCCCGGAUCCAGGAUGGGAUCUCCUGC
Molecule: long non-coding RNA, 6565 nt
Filed under: Homo sapiens (human)
Lineage: Eukaryota; Metazoa; Chordata; Mammalia; Primates; Hominidae
Description: HSALNT0282570
Source: RNAcentral